Molecule: ribosomal RNA, 394 nt
Filed under: Leucocarbo colensoi (Auckland Island shag)
Lineage: Eukaryota; Metazoa; Chordata; Aves; Suliformes; Phalacrocoracidae
Description: partial 12S small subunit ribosomal RNA
Rfam family: Bacterial small subunit ribosomal RNA
Source: RNAcentral
GCCUAGCCCUAAAUCUUGGCACUUCCCCUAGUAAAGUGUCCGCYUGAGAACUACKAGCACAAACGCUUAAAACUCUAAGGACUUGGCGGUGCCCCAAACCCACCUAGAGGAGCCUGUUCUAUAAUCGAUAACCCACGAUUCACCCGACCACCCCUUGCCAAAACAGCCUACAUACCGCCGUCGUCAGCCCACCUUAGUGAAAGGACAACAGUGAGCACAAUAGUCUCGCCCACUAACAAGACAGGUCAAGGUAUAGCUBAUGGGGUGGAAGAAAUGGGCUACAUUUUCUGAAACAGAAAACUUAACGAAAGGGAACGUGAAACCGUCCCCAAAAGGCGGAUUUAGCAGUAAAGCGGGACAAUAGAGCCCCCUUUAAACCGGCCCUGGGGCACGU